Molecule: ribosomal RNA, 465 nt
Filed under: uncultured bacterium
Lineage: Bacteria
Description: partial 16S ribosomal RNA
Rfam family: Bacterial small subunit ribosomal RNA
Source: RNAcentral
CCUACGGGAGGCAGCAGUGGGGAAUAUUGCGCAAUGGGCGAAAGCCUGACGCAGCGAAGCCGCGUGAGGGAUGAAGGUCCUCGGAUCGUUAACCUCUGUCAGCAGGGAAGCACGGUCACUGUGCUAAUCAGCAGUGAAUUGACGGUACCUGCAAAGGAAGCACCGGCUAACUCCGUGCCAGCAGCCGCGGUAAUACGGAGGGUGCGAGCGUUAAUCGGAAUUACUGGGCGUAAAGCGCUCGUAGGCGGUAUGUCAAGUCAAGGGUGAAAUCCCCGCGCUCAACGUGGGAACUGCCUUUGAAACUGGCAAACUGGAGUGUGUGAGAGGAUAGUGGAAUUCCAGGUGUAGGAGUGAAAUCCGUAGAUAUCUGGAGGAACAUCAGUGGCGAAGGCGACUAUCUGGCACAUAACUGACGCUGAGGAGCGAAAGCGUGGGUAGCAAACAGGAUUAGAUACCCGUGUAGUC